This 588-nucleotide ribosomal RNA is filed under the name uncultured bacterium. RNAcentral describes it as "bacterial SSU rRNA". It matches the Rfam family "Bacterial small subunit ribosomal RNA", at positions 331 to 929 of the family's 1533-position model. The record is from RNAcentral.
CCAGACUCCUACGGGAGGCAGCAGUGGGGAAUAUUGCACAAUGGGCGGAAGCCUGAUGCAGCAACGCCGCGUGCGGGAUGACGGCCUUCGGGUUGUAAACCGCUUUCGCCUGUGACGAAGCGUGAGUGACGGUAAUGGGUAAAGAAGCACCGGCUAACUACGUGCCAGCAGCCGUGGUGAUACGUAGGGUGCGAGCGUUGUCCGGAUUUAUUGGGCGUAAAGGGCUCGUAGGUGGUUGAUCGCGUCGGAAGUGUAAUCUUGGGGCUUAACCCUGAGCGUGCUUUCGAUACGGGUUGACUUGAGGAAGGUAGGGGAGAAUGGAAUUCCUGGUGGAGCGGUGGAAUGCGCAGAUAUCAGGAGGAACACCAGUGGCGAAGGCGGUUCUCUGGGCCUUUCCUGACGCUGAGGAGCGAAAGCGUGGGGAGCGAACAGGCUUAGAUACCCUGGUAGUCCACGCUGUAAACGGUGGGUACUAGGUGUGGGGUCCAUUCCACGGGUUCCGUGCCGUAGCUAACGCUUUAAGUACCCCGCCUGGGGAGUACGGCCGCAAGGCUAAAACUCAAAGGAAUUGACGGGGGCCCGCACAAG